RNAcentral lists this unclassified non-coding RNA (659 nucleotides) under Hevea brasiliensis (rubber tree). The record is from RNAcentral. Lineage: Eukaryota; Viridiplantae; Streptophyta; Magnoliopsida; Malpighiales; Euphorbiaceae.
AUGCAACAGCGAAAACUUCAGACUUCUUCACAGAAGCAGACCAUGAGAGAGUGAGCCCCAGAAACACGAUGAAGAAAAAUGGGCCCCAAAGAUCCCAAUCCCUCAAAGCCUUCCCGGGAUCUUCUCUAUACGGGUUAGGAAACACCACAAGCUUCAAAUUACUCACGAUCCUCGACAGAUCUCUCUUCACCGUAUCCCACACAGGUUCCGUCAACGUAUUCGGAGGCGACCCAAAUCCAGACACACCAAUAUUCGAAUGUGAGUUGCCAGGCGGUGGGGGCGGAGCCGCCGGUACAGAUGGGACAGACGACGGUUUCUGAGCUGACGGUGGCAAUGGAGGCAGAUUCGACUGAAUAAAUGGAGAGGAAGAGACAGGGAUACGUGGCGGGCUGGGCGGACGGGCCGGUAGGACAGUUGCCGGACCGGAUUGAACGCUGGCGUUGAUUAGGUUCUCGAUCUCGUCGAUGUCCGAUUGGGAGGAUGCGUGGAGAGGGAUUGUGUCGCUGUGCGACAUUUUUCGUUGUUCUGGUAAAAGUUUGUUUAAUCUUUUUUCUCGCGAAAGUGAUAGAAAAUUGAUGGAUCUUUUGAGGAUUGGAGUCGGGUAUCUGCAGAACGAAGAGCGAAAUCCCAGAGAAAAGAGGGUUUAAGUUAGGUUGAUU